This 73-nucleotide transfer RNA is filed under the name Ailuropoda melanoleuca (giant panda). It matches the Rfam family "tRNA". Rfam says of the family: Transfer RNA (tRNA) molecules are approximately 80 nucleotides in length. Their secondary structure includes four short double-helical elements and three loops (D, anti-codon, and T loops). Further hydrogen bonds mediate the characteristic L-shaped molecular structure. tRNAs have two regions of fundamental functional importance: the anti-codon, which is responsible for specific mRNA codon recognition, and the 3' end, to which the tRNAs corresponding amino acid is attached (by aminoacyl-tRNA synthetases). tRNAs cope with the degeneracy of the genetic code in two manners: having more than one tRNA (with a specific anti-codon) for a particular amino acid; and 'wobble' base-pairing, i.e. permitting non-standard base-pairing at the 3rd anti-codon position. Lineage: Eukaryota; Metazoa; Chordata; Mammalia; Carnivora; Ursidae. The record is from Rfam by way of RNAcentral.
GCCUGGCUGGCUCAGUCGGUAGAGCAUGCGACCCUUAAUCUCAGGGUUGUGAGUUCAAGCCCCACAUUGGGUG